GGAGAAUCGCUGGAACCCAGGAGGUGGAGGUUGCAGUGCACCGAGAUCUUGCCACUGUACUCCAGCCUGGGCGACAGAGCGAGACUCCAUCUCUGUCCUCCACCCUCCUCUCAAAAAGAAUCGACCAAAGUUUGCAGUCAUCAGUCAUGUCAAGUGCAUGACACCUGCUUCUAUCUAGGCCCAGAUCUUCCACUUCUCCCUGCCUCUGGGCGAGGGGGUAACUAAAAACGGGGGUCGCUGGCCGGGAUGCGGGGACAGUGGGCCAGGCCCUCGGGCCCAGAGGGGAUCAUCCCGGGAGCUGCAGGCCGCAGUACCUGGUUCCUGCCAGUGACAGGGCGUCGCAAGCACAUCCAUGGAUGACGUCACCAACGCUCCACCGGUGCUUCCGCCCUGCAGGGAGCCGAGCGCGGGGAAGAGGGCGCGGCGCGGGGCCGUCACCACGCCAGGCUGCGGGCCGCUCAGUCAGUCCCUCCGCCCGGUGGGCCUGCGGGUUCUGGCUGAAACUGUUUCUCACUGGUCAAACUAUUAACUGCGUGCCUGAAAAUCUGUUAGGACAGGAAACAGGAAGAUAUUCUACCAAAGCCCCCGGUGGUACAAAUGGCGGAGUCUGUUCUGCCUCACUCGCCCCUGGUCACCACCAUUCAGUGAUCAUUCAUCUGUGGCAACAGGUGGGCAGCGGGGGAAGCUGAAUUAGAUACCCGAUGUGUAACUUUUUGGAGGUUUUUACAGAAGCAGAUAGAGUGGCCAGUGGCAUCAAAGAAAUGGAAUGAGAACUUGAGCCCAGGCACCCAGAGCAGGUGUUUUCUGAGCCCUCAGCUCCCUCUACAGGGCUUUCCCGACCACGGCCAGCCCGUUUGGGGAGUCACGUCUCAGCCCUGGCUUGGGUACAGCAGGGAGGGCUCUGGAGGCCCCUGCUGAGCAGGGUUGACUCUAACACUCUUCCUCUGUGUCUUAGUAUUGUCUUUUAUCUGUAAAUCAUGUUCUCUUUUGCCGCAAGCAAAUUCCUGAAUUUUUGCUCCCUUCUAGAAGCUCAAGUGAGGGUCUUUACCAGAGACAUACCCAGAGAUCUGCUGGAAUGUCUUUAGGGAGUCCAGAAAUCACUUACAGAGGCUACCUCUGCCGCUUGGCUGUCCCUGGAGCAGCCCAGAGCUCUCUUUCACUCCUAAGGGGAUGUCUGUCUCGCUAAUUUCCAUCAAGAAAUCUGUUUUCUCGGACAGGCACAGUGGCUCAUGACUGCAAUCCCAGCACUUUGGGAGGCUGAGGUGGAUCACCCGAAGUCAGGAGUUCGAGACCAGCCUGACCAACAUGGUGAAAACCCGUCUCUACUAAAAACACAAAAAAUUAGCCAAGCAUGGUGACAGGUGCCUGUAAUCCCAGCAGCUUGGAAUUGAGAGGCAGGAGAAUUGCUUGAAUCCUGGAGGCGGUGGUUGCAGUGAGUCAAAAUCACACCACUGCACUCCAGCCUGGGCAACACAGUGAAACUCCAUCUCAAAAAAAAAAAAAGAAACAGAAAUCCAUUUUCACAGGAAACCAAAAAUCAGCAUUUUGGACUCAGUCCGCUAAAUGAUUAUUCCUUUCCUGAUACAGAUUUUGGUUUUGAGAGUCAAACAGGGAUAGGCAGCACAACGUGACUUUGGUUUUGAUCCAGAACCAUUUUACUAAGCUCAGAAAAGCAUGCUUUGUCAAGUUCCGAUGGAUUCCAAGGGAAAUCACCUAUCCCAGGUAAAGCUGUACUUUCUCUCGCCAAGCGCCUGGAGGUAGCAUCUCCACUUCCCAUUCUUUGCCAAUGGCUCCUGUGACUGAACAGAGAAGCUUUUUCUGAAAUAAGAUGAAAGUGUUUGUGGAAGAGCCACAGAAUAAAAAUAGAGAUACAAGUGCUUACUUUCAAUUCUUUUCUUUUAAAUGUAAAUAAUUGCUCCAUGAUCCAUGCCGCCACUUACCCCAACUGAAUACCAAAACAGCCGAAUCCUUCUGAAUCCUUUUUUUUUUUUUAAUUUUUUUUUUUUUAGAGACAGUGUCCUGCUGUUUCCCAGGCAGGAAACAGCUGAGUGGCAGUGGUGCCAUCCCAGCUCACUGAAGCCUCAAACUCCUGGGCUCAAGGGAUCCUCCCACCUCAGCCUCCUGAGUAGUGGGGACUACAGGCGCGCACCACCACACACGCUCUAGGCGAAAGAAUGAGGCUCCUUCUCAAAAAACAAAACA
Molecule: long non-coding RNA, 2202 nt
Organism: Rhinopithecus bieti (black snub-nosed monkey)
Lineage: Eukaryota; Metazoa; Chordata; Mammalia; Primates; Cercopithecidae
Source: Ensembl